GAAAUGCGAUAAGUAAUGUGAAUUGCAGAAUUCAGUGAAUCAUCGAAUCUUUGAACGCACAUUGCGCCCGCCAGUAUUCUGGCGGGCAUGCCUGUUCGAGCGUCAUUACAACCCUCAGGCCCCCGGGCCUGGCGUUGGGGAUCGGCGGAAGCCCCCUGCGGGCACAACGCCGUCCCCCAAAUACAGUGGCGGUCCCGCCGCAGCUUCCAUUGCGUAGUAGCUAACACCUCAACUGGAGAGCGGCGCGGCCACGCCGUAAAACACCCAACUUCUGAAUGUUGACCUCGAAUCAGGUAGGAAUACCCGCUGAACUUAAGC
Molecule: unclassified non-coding RNA, 318 nt
Filed under: plant metagenome
Description: partial contains 5.8S ribosomal RNA, internal transcribed spacer 2, and large subunit ribosomal RNA
Rfam family: 5.8S ribosomal RNA (bases 1-105)
Source: RNAcentral